UACGUAGGGUGCGAGCGUUGUCCGGAAUUAUUGGGCGUAAAGAGCUUGUAGGCGGUUUGUCGCGUCUGCCGUGAAAAUCCGGGGCUCAACCCCGGACUUGCGGUGGGUACGGGCAGACUAGAGUGUGGUAGGGGAGACUGGAAUUCCUGGUGUAGCGGUGAAAUGCGCAGAUAUCAGGAGGAACACCGGUGGCGAAGGCGGAUCUCUGGGCCUUACCUGACGCUCAGGUGCGAAAGCUAGGGGAGCAAACAGG
RNAcentral lists this ribosomal RNA (253 nucleotides) under uncultured bacterium. Its description in RNAcentral is "partial 16S ribosomal RNA". It matches the Rfam family "Bacterial small subunit ribosomal RNA", at positions 524 to 776 of the family's 1533-position model. The record is from RNAcentral.